GACGAACGCUAGCGGCGGGCUUAAUACAUGCAAGUCGGGGGGGCAGCAAUGUCACCGGCGGACGGGUGCGUAACACGUAUGUAACCUACCCUUUACCGGAGGAUACACUGGAGAAAUUCAGGAUAAGACUCCGUAUGCUCACGGUGAGGCAUCUCACAGGGAGGAAAGGAGACAGUAAAGGAUGGGCAUGCGUCUGAUUAGCUAGUUGGUGAGGUAACGGCUCACCAAGGCGACGAUCAGUAGCUGGUCUGAGAGGAUGAUCAGCCACACUGGCACUGAGACACGGGCCAGACUCCUACGGGAGGCAGCAGUAAGGAAUAUUGGACAAUGGGCGAAAGCCUGAUCCAGCCAUGCCGCGUGAGUGAAGAAGGCCU
This 374-nucleotide ribosomal RNA is filed under the name uncultured bacterium. RNAcentral's name for it is "bacterial SSU rRNA". It matches the Rfam family "Bacterial small subunit ribosomal RNA", at positions 28 to 417 of the family's 1533-position model. The record is from RNAcentral.